RNAcentral lists this small RNA (109 nucleotides) under Flavobacteriaceae bacterium. Its description in RNAcentral is "6S RNA". It matches the Rfam family "6S-Flavo RNA". Lineage: Bacteria; Pseudomonadati; Bacteroidota; Flavobacteriia; Flavobacteriales; Flavobacteriaceae. The record is from RNAcentral.
ACUCAACGAUCUUAUUUUUAUAAGAGGUGAGUCCAUAUUGUAAAAGCAAGCUGUCUUUGAACAGAUCCUUGAUCAGUUGGUUAGCCGCAAACCUUUUUUUACGGAGUUU